UACAGAGGGCCCGAGCGUUGUUCGGAUUCAUUGGGCGUAAAGGGUGCGUAGGCGGCGGGGCAAGUCUGAUGUGAAAUCCCGGGGCUCAACCCCGGAACUGCAUUGGAUACUGCCUUGCUAGAGUACUGGAGAGGGAACUGGAAUUUACGGUGUAGCAGUGAAAUGCGUAGAGAUCGUAAGGAAGGCCAGUGGCGAAGGCGAGUUCCUGGACCGAGAUUGACGCUGAGGCGCGAAAGCCAGGGGAGCAAACGGG
Molecule: ribosomal RNA, 253 nt
Filed under: uncultured bacterium
Lineage: Bacteria
Description: partial 16S ribosomal RNA
Rfam family: Bacterial small subunit ribosomal RNA
Source: RNAcentral